RNAcentral lists this ribosomal RNA (551 nucleotides) under Fusarium fujikuroi. Its description in RNAcentral is "eukaryotic LSU rRNA". The stretch from base 177 to 330 matches the Rfam family "5.8S ribosomal RNA". Lineage: Eukaryota; Fungi; Ascomycota; Sordariomycetes; Hypocreales; Nectriaceae. The record is from RNAcentral.
GUAGGGUGAACCUGCGGAGGGAUCAUUCCCGAGUUUACAACUCCCAAACCCCUGUGAACAUACCAAUUGUUGCCUCGGCGGAUCAGCCCGCUCCCGGUAAAACGGGACGGCCCGCCAGAGGACCCCUAAACUCUGUUUCUAUAUGUAACUUCUGAGUAAAACCAUAAAUAAAUCAAAACUUUCAACAACGGAUCUCUUGGUUCUGGCAUCGAUGAAGAACGCAGCAAAAUGCGAUAAGUAAUGUGAAUUGCAGAAUUCAGUGAAUCAUCGAAUCUUUGAACGCACAUUGCGCCCGCCAGUAUUCUGGCGGGCAUGCCUGUUCGAGCGUCAUUUCAACCCUCAAGCCCAGCUUGGUGUUGGGACUCGCGAGUCAAAUCGCGUUCCCCAAAUUGAUUGGCGGUCACGUCGAGCUUCCAUAGCGUAGUAGUAAAACCCUCGUUACUGGUAAUCGUCGCGGCCACGCCGUUAAACCCCAACUUCUGAAUGUUGACCUCGGAUCAGGUAUGAAGUCCAAUUUCCCUCUGAACUUAAGCAUAUCAAUAAGCGGGAGG